ACAGAAGUCACUUAACUAAGUCUAGGUUCCUCAUCUGUGAACUGAGAAAACUAAAAGCACUGAUUCCAUGGGGUGCUUAGGAAGAAGUCACCCAUGACUAUCUGGAACAACAUUGUGGGGAAGGCCAAGUUUCUGGUCACUCUCCAUCUUUUCCGCCAGUGCCCAACUGACUGAUCUUUACAGAUGGUGUCAACAGAUGCAUCUACCCUCUGGCUUCAAGUUGAGUUGGCCAAUGAAGGGAGGCGCUGCGGAAAGUACAUGACAUUUGCAGUUGUGGGCGACUGUGCUGUGGGAUGAAACCAGG
RNAcentral lists this long non-coding RNA (304 nucleotides) under Homo sapiens (human). RNAcentral describes it as "non-protein coding lnc-TLR3-2:2". Lineage: Eukaryota; Metazoa; Chordata; Mammalia; Primates; Hominidae. The record is from RNAcentral.